Molecule: ribosomal RNA, 165 nt
Filed under: uncultured bacterium
Lineage: Bacteria
Description: partial 16S rRNA
Rfam family: Bacterial small subunit ribosomal RNA
Source: RNAcentral
UAGGGAAUCUUCGGCAAGUGGGGGCAACCCUGACCGAGCAACGCCGCGUGAGUGAAGAAGGGUUUCGGCUCGUAAAGCUCUGUUGUUAAAGAAGAACACGUAUGAGAGUAACUGUUCAUACGUUGACGGUAUUUAACCAGAAAGUCACGGCUAACUACGUGCCAG